RNAcentral lists this ribosomal RNA (941 nucleotides) under Staphylococcus aureus. RNAcentral describes it as "bacterial SSU rRNA". It matches the Rfam family "Bacterial small subunit ribosomal RNA", at positions 57 to 980 of the family's 1533-position model. Lineage: Bacteria; Bacillati; Bacillota; Bacilli; Caryophanales; Staphylococcaceae. The record is from RNAcentral.
GCAGUCGAGCGAACGGACGAGAAGCUUGCUUCUCUGAUGUUAGCGGCGGACGGGUGAGUAACACGUGGAUAACCUACCUAUAAGACUGGGAUAACUUCGGGAAACCGGAGCUAAUACCGGAUAAUAUUUUGAACCGCAUGGUUCAAAAGUGAAAGACGGUCUUGCUGUCACUUAUAGAUGGAUCCGCGCUGCAUUAGCUAGUUGGUAAGGUAACGGCUUACCAAGGCAACGAUGCAUAGCCGACCUGAGAGGGUGAUCGGCCACACUGGAACUGAGACACGGUCCAGACUCCUACGGGAGGCAGCAGUAGGGAAUCUUCCGCAAUGGGCGAAAGCCUGACGGAGCAACGCCGCGUGAGUGAUGAAGGUCUUCGGAUCGUAAAACUCUGUUAUUAGGGAAGAACAUAUGUGUAAGUAACUGUGCACAUCUUGACGGUACCUAAUCAGAAAGCCACGGCUAACUACGUGCCAGCAGCCGCGGUAAUACGUAGGUGGCAAGCGUUAUCCGGAAUUAUUGGGCGUAAAGCGCGCGUAGGCGGUUUUUUAAGUCUGAUGUGAAAGCCCACGGCUCAACCGUGGAGGGUCAUUGGAAACUGGAAAACUUGAGUGCAGAAGAGGAAAGUGGAAUUCCAUGUGUAGCGGUGAAAUGCGCAGAGAUAUGGAGGAACACCAGUGGCGAAGGCGACUUUCUGGUCUGUAACUGACGCUGAUGUGCGAAAGCGUGGGGAUCAAACAGGAUUAGAUACCCUGGUAGUCCACGCCGUAAACGAUGAGUGCUAAGUGUUAGGGGGUUUCCGCCCCUUAGUGCUGCAGCUAACGCAUUAAGCACUCCGCCUGGGGAGUACGACCGCAAGGUUGAAACUCAAAGGAAUUGACGGGGACCCGCACAAGCGGUGGAGCAUGUGGUUUAAUUCGAAGCAACGCGAAGAACCUUACCAAAUC